GAGAGCCUCCUGUGGAUCUGACUCUGCUCCAAGGCCUUACAGGGAAUGGAGCCCAGAAAGGGCCUCUGCUUUUGGAUGCUCCCCCGCAGCCGGCGCUGCUGACUCAGGCAAUGCUGUCUCUUUACCAUAACCAGUUAGAAACUCUGAACCAUAAGCCUCAAGGGGGAACACAACCUCCCCACCUUUAUAUGGGGAGCAAGGGAGGAUUCAGGAGCUGGAGUAAAGGUUGGGACAAGCUCCUCCAUUUAGGAGAAGGGAAAUCAGAAGCGGGUAUCUGCUAUGAACCUACCUGGAAAAAAAGGCUCACCAG
Long non-coding RNA from Rhea pennata, 310 nucleotides. RefSeq lists it as uncharacterized. The transcript has 3 exons. The record is from RefSeq and is a predicted model, not a curated record. NCBI's taxonomy places the organism in Eukaryota, Metazoa, Chordata, Aves, Rheiformes, Rheidae.